GUCUUAUUCUAGUAUUAUUACAAGCACCUCAAGAAAAAAACUGAUGCCAGUCAAAUGCCAAGUUGAUAAUGAGACCGGUCGGCACAACAUUUGACGCCACAGCUUCACCUCACCACGCAUGCAAUACUGAGCCAACCCAGACUUCCAGCACAUUCAAGAAAACUGCAGAGCCGUCACUUUUCACCAACUUUCCUUUGUUUAAUAAACACAUAUUGGAC
Molecule: long non-coding RNA, 218 nt
Organism: Corythoichthys intestinalis (scribbled pipefish)
Lineage: Eukaryota; Metazoa; Chordata; Actinopteri; Syngnathiformes; Syngnathidae
Exons: 3
Source: RefSeq, a predicted model, not a curated record